GAGUCUGCGAAUGAAGAAAGUUUAAAAAGCCCUUUGAUAGAGCGAGGCUGGAAGCUGGUGCUGGAGGAGACCCAUGCCAGCUUCUAUCCAAACGUUCCUGCCCUGGAUUGUAAAAAACUGCUGUGGCUUCUCGAGAAUCACCAUCCUCAGGAGAGAGACAAUUGAGCACCUGCUACCCACCAGAGACAGACAUCUGUGUCACCGAAUGCCACCGCCUCCCAGCCGUUACCAGACUGUUCCAUUGACCCUUGGUGGCCACCUGGUGUGAUGACCUCACUCUCCCGAUCAGUGGUUGAUGUGACCCAGGACACAGUCCCUGACGCUAAGUAGGGAUCCAAGUUACUAAGCCUGGUGAGGUAAGAAUUACCUU
RNAcentral lists this long non-coding RNA (370 nucleotides) under Rattus norvegicus (Norway rat). Its description in RNAcentral is "long non-coding RNA NONRATT031683". Lineage: Eukaryota; Metazoa; Chordata; Mammalia; Rodentia; Muridae. The record is from RNAcentral.